Molecule: long non-coding RNA, 1093 nt
Organism: Oncorhynchus tshawytscha (Chinook salmon)
Lineage: Eukaryota; Metazoa; Chordata; Actinopteri; Salmoniformes; Salmonidae
Source: Ensembl
CUCUCUCUCCCUCUCUCUCUCUCUCCCUCUCUCUCCCUCUCUCUCUCUCCAUCUCUCUCUCCAUCUCCAUCUCACAGAAAAUCGAUCAUCCGUCAGAGUUCUGUCAAACGUUGAAAGUGUUGGAACAAAAUGUCAGCAGUGGAACAGAGUGCCAGCCCAGUGGUGGUUUGCCUUUUCUCAAAACAAUAAAAAGAAUCUCCAACUGUUCUUCCGUGAGUCCAAGAGUAUGAUUAUUGUAUUGAUUAUAGUCAGCACCAUGAUGAUGAGCAAGGCAGACCCAAUAUUGUACCUGCUUGUUCACUGACUUGGUACCAGCGUCGCCUAGUGGUUAGAGCGUUGGACUAGAAACCGGAAGGUUGCAAGUUCAAACCCACGAGCUGACAAGGUACAAAUCUGUCGUUCUGCCCCUGAACAGGCAGUUAACCCACUGUUCCUAGGCCGUCAUUGAAAAUAAGAAUUUGUUCUUAACUGACUUGCCUAGUUAAAUAAAUGAAAAAAAUAAAAAAUGUAGUAUUCCAUAGAAGACAGGGAUCAAUCACUGUAACUACUAGCUCUUGUAAAUCAGUGGUAAUAGUCCUCUUCGGUAGGUACAGCUCUGAAUAACAACAGCCACUUCUUUAUUCAGCCCUGAGCGUCCACCUAGAACCAGUCAGUCAGAUGGUUGAGAGGUUGAUGGCUGUACAGCCAUGCUGAAUUACUGACGAUGGCACUCUAUUUUCACAUUGUUGGUGGAAGUCUGUAUGGAUAAACGUGUGAAAUUCACUGGGAUAUUAGUAGAAAGCAACGGGAGAAGACCGACAGACUCGUACAAACAGAAAAGAAAAGAAAAACACCCACACAAUAAGGUAGGAGGGGCAUGGGUAAACACAGCCAAUCACACAGAUCGGUAGUCCUGUUCAGACACACAAUUAGAGCUCUGAGCUGACCUUAGGUAUAGAUGGGGUUGUCAGAACAGCACAGUCUCUGGCUAGGGCUCUGAGUAUUGGCUGGUCUCAUGGUGAUGACCCUGGAAUUGGACGGACUCUUUGAGGCCUUUCCUGGAAUGGUGCAUGCUGGGAGUAGACUUCAGUAGACUCACUGAGGAGAACAGGCC